ACAAUGGAGAGUUUGAUCCUGGCUCAGGAUGAACGCUAGCUACAGGCUUAACACAUGCAAGUCGAGGGGAAACGAUAUCGGAAGCUUGCUUUUGAUAGGCGUCGACCGGCGCACGGGUGAGUAACGCGUAUCCAACCUGCCCACCACUUGGGGAUAACCUUGCGAAAGUAAGACUAAUACCCAAUGACGUCUCUAGAAGACAUCUGAAAG
This 210-nucleotide ribosomal RNA is filed under the name Segatella copri. RNAcentral's name for it is "partial 16S ribosomal RNA". It matches the Rfam family "Bacterial small subunit ribosomal RNA", at positions 1 to 199 of the family's 1533-position model. Lineage: Bacteria; Pseudomonadati; Bacteroidota; Bacteroidia; Bacteroidales; Prevotellaceae. The record is from RNAcentral.